RNAcentral lists this ribosomal RNA (460 nucleotides) under uncultured bacterium. Its description in RNAcentral is "partial 16S ribosomal RNA". It matches the Rfam family "Bacterial small subunit ribosomal RNA", at positions 338 to 795 of the family's 1533-position model. The record is from RNAcentral.
CCUACGGGCGGCAGCAGUGAGGAAUAUUGGUCAAUGGGCGCGAGCCUGAACCAGCCAAGCCGCGUGAAGGAUGACUGCCCUACGGGUUGUAAACUUCUUUUAUAAAGGAAUAAAGUGUGGCACGUAUACCUUUUUGUAUGUACUUUAUGAAUAAGGCACGGCUAACCCCGUGCCAGCAGCCGCGGUAAUACGGAGGAUCCGAGCGUUAUCCGGAUUUAUUGGGUUUAAAGGGAGCGUAGAUGGGUUGUUAAGUCAGUUGUGAAAGUUUGGGGCUCAACCGUAGAAUUGCAAUUGAUACUGGCAGUCUUGAGUACAGUAGAGGUGGGCGGAAUUCGUGGUGUAGCGGUGAAAUGCUUAGAUAUCACGAAGAACUCCGAUUGCGAAGGCAGCUUACUAAACUGCCACUGACAUUGAUGCGCGAAAGUGUGGGUAUCAAACAGGAUUAGAUACCCGAGUAGUC